UCCCGCAGCGCUGACCGGAAGAGCUUGCUGGGACCAGGAAACGCCGCCACCGCUUGAUCUCCCCCACCUGCCCGAAGACCUGGAGGCCUUCAGAGGGCCAGGAGUCAGCAGCCCGGGGCGCUGCGGCCCUCUCCGCCUGAGGGAGCGCCCUUGGCAACAAGGCAAAGAGCAUUAUUCACAAUAAUGCCGAGGGGUAGAAGCAAGCCGAACGCCCAUCAAUGAAGGACUGGAUAAACAAAAUGUGGUCAGAGGGCUAAAGUAGGAAAUCAAACGAUUUUCAAGAUUCAAGCUUUCAAGAUUAAAGCAAAAGACUAAAGUAAAGGAAAACUAGAACUGCAGAGAUUCUUGUGGCCUGACUUUCUCUGCUGCCCUUCAAAACUUUGCUGAGAAAGGUGGGAACAAGAUGUGACUGCAAAUGAGCACAAGGAAUCUUUUUGGGGUGAUGAGUAUGUUCCAAAAUUGGAUUUUGGUGGUUUUACAACUGUAAAUUUACUAAAAACCAUUGAAGU
Non-coding RNA from Leptonychotes weddellii (Weddell seal), 509 nucleotides. Lineage: Eukaryota; Metazoa; Chordata; Mammalia; Carnivora; Phocidae. The record is from RefSeq and is a predicted model, not a curated record.